CAGAGAUUUCCAAGUCUAGAUAACAUCAAACGAAGUGGAUCAGGAACGAGUCUUAACGGUGAUUUUCCUUCGUCAGGUUCCAGAAGAACAGCUUCAUGGAGUGGAAGUUUGAACAGCUCGUUUACAUCUCCAACGGGUCCAUCAAACCUCAAACCAAGCCCACUCAACGGUAGCAGCAGCAGCCUUGGAGAGGAGCUUCAAGACGUGGAACUGUAAGAGCUAGAAUCUGUAGUAUCAAAAAGUUUUGCUCACUGUCAGAGGUAGUCCAGUCAAAUGUUAAUCCAUGAGUUUACCCAAUACAUAAAAUACGAUAGGGGCAAUAUGUGUGAGUUUGUAUCCAUUGUUUUUUUUUUUACAUUACAAAUCAUUAAUUUUUCUUGUUUAACAGACUUCAGUUGUUGUACAAUUAUACACAUUAAUGUUCUGUUCAUGAGUAGGGGUUUAAUCAAAUGGUUCACCAUGUGAUUGUUUUUGCUAAGUCACUUCUUCAGUGUCAUCAAGUUGAUAAUAGAGACUUUUUAUAGGCUGAAGAGCAAAUCUGUUUCUAGAAUUGUGAAAGAGUAUUGAGCUCCAGUGCCGUGGUUUCUGUUUAAUUGUGAGUACUUGAUUCAUGCAGGCACAUAAUUUUCACCGUUACCAUGUGGGAUCAUUGCAUCUUUUAUCAAGUGCGAACCUUUUUUGAGUUUUAGUAAUCCAAAUAAAAUAUUGGAAAACAAGUAUUAGGAAUAAAAAACCCUGCAAAACGUGAAAUUUGUAGGGUUUAACAUAUUAAACCAAAUGUAUUGUGUAACCUGCGUCAGAUUGACAUUGUGUGUUUUUGCUUUUGUCUUUAUAUGAAUGCCAGUGUGGGGGAAUUAGUUCAUGUUCUGUAUAUAGGAGUGGCAGCAAUACUGUAGUAAUUUGUAUGAGUAGUGAGACUAUUUGCGGUUGUUUUUAAAGGUGGGCUCUGUAAACAAUGCGUUGGUGAUUAUUUACUUUUGUGAAGCUAUUUUAGAUGAGAUUGCAUUUCUAGGUUACUUCUUUGUCUUGAUUCACAAGACGUUAUCUUAAAGACUCUUUACCAUAGAAUCAAUAAGCGGAAAACAAUCCGCCUUUCUUUCUUCGUUUCUGUUUCUGCCCUAUUAGUUCUUUCUGUUUACAGAUGGGCCUUUCAGUCCCAAGAUGAUACAUUCAUGAACAGUAUUACUUAUCAAGGGAGGCAAGAGGUUGCUUUUUUUGUUCUUUUGUUUGGGACUCCAAACUCUUGUCUUUUAAAUUUGGUUUUCUCCUCUUACACGAUUGGGGUCUCUCCAGUUGCUAGCCAUGUUUGGUUUCAUAACUACUUUGACAUUGUGUUUACAAUAACCAAAGGCUCAAAACUUAUAAGAUACUGGAGUUGCGCACUGCAACAUUUUUCUCAUGAAUCCAGCUAGAGUCUACACUGUGUUUUACCCUUUUUAAAACAGACGAUCCCAUGAAGCAUCAUAUAUAUUAGUAUAAAGAUAAAUAAUAUAGAUAAAUAAUAUAAUCAAGUGGAGGUUUUCUUAGUCCAAUAGUUUGAGCAAAGAGUUCAUUAAUUGUUUUACACCAGAAGGUUUGGGGUGAAGUAUGCAAAAUAUUAGAAAGAAAGCUUACAAGAGAUUUUUGGCACGGAGGAAGUAGUACCAUCGGGAAUGGAUCUUAUAGGGCAGCUCAGGAUGAUGCAAUCAUAAGUGAAUACUAAUAAAGUAUGUCGGUUGUAGUAUCGUCUCUGUAUGUUUCUCGUAGUUUAUAAUAAUAUAAUUAACCAAUAUUAAAAAAAAUAGUAUUUUCCUAAAAUAUAAUUUUUUUAUUUUUGGGGCUAGAUUGAAAGUUGGGAAGGUAAAAGGAUUAAAAUAAACAUAAAGGUUAUUUGGAAAAUAGCAAAUAUAAGUGGAAUAAUAUAAAGUUCAUUAUUUGACUAUGAUACUAAAUAUUUUUGGUGGGUUCAUCGGAACCUUCAAGUGAAACAUGAAAAAAAUUAUUUUUAUGGUGUCAAGAAAAUUACUAUCAUCUUUACUUUUGUGGAGAAGAUUUCAUCACCAUGCAUUCUUUCCAUGAAAGAUAAUGCUUCUCAAAGCAUUAUUCGAUCUAUAGUUUCAAGUUAAACACCAGUUUAUCUUCUUACGUAGCAAUUUGUACGGAGCCAGAAGAGGCCACCAAGAUUAUUUCGGUUUUUCUGUAGGUUGUAGAUUAGAAGUUAGACUAAUUUUAAAUUAUUUAACUUUGUCGUGAAUGUGAAUAUCUUUUUGACGUAUUUAAACUUUAUUUUGAAUUUGAUGUGACCUGGUUUUUCACAGUAGUAACAUCCUCUCUCCUACUGAGUCUCUGAUCGUAGCACCUUCUGGAGAUUCUUAACUUUUUCAGCAACAAUCUUUGAGGUAGUACUUUCACUUGUUGUUCUUCCUUCGGAGUUGGAGCUUGGAAAAUUUUUGAUAAGUUUUGUAUCACUCUUUCCAUACCCGAGAUAUUUNNNNNNNNNNNNNNNNNNNNNNNNNNNNNNNNNNNNNNNNNNNNNNNNNNNNNNNNNNNNNNNNNNNNNNNNNNNNNNNNNNNNNNNNNNNNNNNNNNNNNNNNNNNNNNNNNNNNNNNNNNNNNNNNNNNNNNNNNNNNNNNNNNNNNNNNNNNNNNNNNNNNNNNNNNNNNNNNNNNNNNNNNNNNNNNNNNNNNNNNNNNNNNNNAUCAGCAUCAACAGCAGGAGGCUGCUAAGUUACCAUAUAGUCAAUCUGCUAAUACAAUGCAAUCAUUGAUGUCACAUGCCUCAAUGGAACCAAUACGUGAGUUGGAUGGGAACUCAAGGACGAUGGCAGUACAUUCUAGAAGUGUCUCAGAGCCAGAUUUCGGUAGGACGCCAAUACAGGUCAAUAUCACUGGAAAUCAUUUAUUUUUAUUUCCUUUUCUGUUAUUGCCUGAUGUCUGGUUUGGGAUUUAUCCUGAGGUAAGUAGGUACUUAGCAUGCAGGUUUAGAAAACCAUUGCUUACUUGCCUUUUUUCUGAUAGGAUCAGCCUGUCUCCUCAAAAGACAAAGCUACUGAUGGGGUGCCACAGGUGAAACCAACCGUGAAUGUGACAAGUUCGCGGUUUAGCAGCUUUGGUUUUGGCAUACUAAAGAACACCGUACGGAGGGUCUUACCAUCUCGGCCAUCUAAAGAGGUGCACCUUAAUAAAUGUUUUAAGUCGUGAUGAUGGUUUUCUUGAACUUAUUCUAAUGUUGGGUCAUGCUUUUGAAUUAAGGCAAAACUGGGUGAGGAGAAUCAGUUUUACUAUGACGAAAAACUAAAGAGAUGGAUGGAGAAAGGUGUAGAACCCCCAGCUGAGGAAGCUGCAUUGCCUCCUCCUCCAACAGUAGGCACGUACCAAAACAACUCACUGGGGUAUGAAAACAGAUCUGACAUGAUGAACGAGAUGUCUCCACCUAGUGGGAGCUGGAGCAGUGGCAGCCCGACUCCAUCCGAGAAUUCUUCGGGAAUCCCACCAAUCUCACAGGGCUCGAAUCAAUUCUCAGCUCGUGGACGCCCAAGGUAAACAAACCACCUACUUGUGACGCUUUCGAAUUAUUCUUAUGUGCUGGCUAUCCUGGAUCAUAAUCAUGAGCGUAGUUGUAGUGUCACAUUAGAAUGACAUUGAGGAGUGAAUAAUAUAAGCCAACGACAGUAUUAAAGGUGAAGCUUUGAGUGUGAAAUGGACAAACUUUUCUUGAUUGUAGUUUCCGGUUGUGUUAGCUAUAAUACUCCAUAGUUGAGUCUGAUAAAUUGUCAGAAAAGCUGUAGACACUGGGGAUCAUCACAUAUUGCCUUUGUUAGAUAACGUGCAUGAUUAGAGUUGAAUCGUUUUUACUUUCUUUUGGGGCAGAUACGUUGACCUCUUUAAUCCAGGCGGUGGAAACUCUAAGACAAUGUUCCAGUCACCUCCUGCAAAAUCUGCUAAACCACCAAUCCCUGCAAAAGCAAAUUUCUUCAUCCCAGCAGCACCUGCGUCGUCUUCAAACGACCAGGUAACCGAGAUGGCAGCUACUGAAACCAGUCAGGAGUACUCAGCAGAAGAAGUAGCCGUCCCUCCACCACCACCAAGCCACUCUUCAUUCCAGUCCCCGACUCCAUCUCCAAUGACAAUGCAGAGAUUUCCAAGUCUAGAUAACAUCAAACGAAGUGGAUCAGGAACGAGUCUUAACGAUGAUUUUCCUUCGUCAGGUUCCAGAAGAACAGCUUCAUGGAGUGGAAGUUUGAACAGCUCGUUUACAUCUCCAACGGGUCCAUCAAACCUCAAACCAAGCCCACUCAACGGUAGCAGCAGCAGCCUUGGAGAGGAGCUUCAAGACGUGGAACUGUAAGAGCUAGAAUCUGUAGUAUCAAAAAGUUUUGCUCACUGUCAGAGGUAGUCCAGUCAAAUGUUAAUCCAUGAGUUUACCCAAUACAUAAAAUACGAUAGGGGCAAUGUGUAUGCAGUUUGUAUCCAUUGUUUUUUCUUUUUACAUUACAAAUCAUUAAUUUUUCUUGUUUAACAGACUUCAGGAGUUAUACAGUUAUACACAUUAAUGUUCUGUUCAUGAGUAGGGGUUUAAUCAUCAAAUGGUUCACCAUGUGAUUGUUUGCUAAG
RNAcentral lists this long non-coding RNA (4593 nucleotides) under Brassica napus (rape). RNAcentral describes it as "long non-coding RNA (BNAP_LNC022929)". The record is from RNAcentral. Lineage: Eukaryota; Viridiplantae; Streptophyta; Magnoliopsida; Brassicales; Brassicaceae.